GUGUUACCAGCCUUGUCUCGGCCACCUCAAGGAUAAUCACUAAAUUCUGCCGAAAGGACUGAGGAACGGUGCCUGGAAAAGGGCAAGAAUAUCACGGCAUGGGCAUGAGUAGCUUGAAACUGCUGAAGUAUGUCCUGUUUUUCUUCAACUUGCUCUUUUGGGUAAGUGUAUCUCUUCUGAGCACGGUUUAGCUCACCUUUACCCAGCUAAGCUCUCCUCAUUCCUCUACUGAAGAGGCUGGUGUGGGGUAAAAUGCAUGCGUGUUUGGGUCAUGUCCAGCACAACCAUCCUAGAAACAAAAGAGUAAUAAUUUUUCCCCUCUUCCUGCCACAGAAUAAACCUGCAAAAUUGAAAGGUACCAGUGCAGUUAUUAAUGGAGGUGCUGUUUCUCUCUGAGGGCUUUAGUUUACUACUACUCGUAGCUAACAUAUAUAGGUGAGAAACCUGAGACUGUGCUCUGGAUAUUGAGUGCCUCUGUUUUUCUUGUCUUUUUUUCUAGAUUCCUUGAAACAAUAAGUGAUUGAAAGGAAAGUCACCCUUUCCAGGGAGGUUUCACUGUAUAAAAUUCAGCAAUUGAAUUUCAGAUAUAGGAUGGGUUGGUACUUGUGUAUAUGAGAAGAUUAUUAUAAGUUUGGCUUCUCUAGUUUUCUGCCUAGCAAGAUGAGCUUCCUCAAGCAGGGCAUCUUCUCUACAUGGUCAUGGUUUCUACAGAGAAAGCCAUGUGUGAGCGACUG
RNAcentral lists this long non-coding RNA (734 nucleotides) under Homo sapiens (human). RNAcentral's name for it is "HSALNT0012600". Lineage: Eukaryota; Metazoa; Chordata; Mammalia; Primates; Hominidae. The record is from RNAcentral.